This 457-nucleotide long non-coding RNA is filed under the name Homo sapiens (human). RNAcentral's name for it is "PREDICTED lncRNA (TCONS_00245877)". Lineage: Eukaryota; Metazoa; Chordata; Mammalia; Primates; Hominidae. The record is from RNAcentral.
CUGUGCCAGAGUCAACAGUCUCCAGGGUGGGCCGGAAGUUGUUGUAGGCGUUCUCAAGGCCGAAUCUGCUCUCCCUCAGAUUCUGGUCUGUAGGGAGAGGCCGUGAUGAGUGAUGGGAGCCUUGGUAGGGGGAGGACUAGGGGGCAGAGGGGAUUUCCUCUGGCAAAAGGAAGAGUCAGCCCGGCAUCUGCCCUACGCCCUUUCCCACUGCCGACCACCCCUCCGACCCUGCAUCACUGGGCUGCGGACAGAAAUGCCUUGAGCAGCUGUAGGCAAGGAGGCUGAGGAGGGACUUGGUGGACCCUGACCUUCAGCUUCCCUCGAGGGGACAGUCACAGCCACACCCCGAGUCAGAGAUGGCAGCGAUGAUGGCAGAGAACAAAAAGUAGCAUCACCAUGGCUUCCCUUCUACCAAGGCAAGCACUGGCCAGGCCUCCUGGCUGCCCCUCACUCCCUU